RNAcentral lists this ribosomal RNA (468 nucleotides) under uncultured bacterium. RNAcentral describes it as "partial 16S ribosomal RNA". It matches the Rfam family "Bacterial small subunit ribosomal RNA", at positions 28 to 507 of the family's 1533-position model. The record is from RNAcentral.
GACGAACGCUGGCGGCGUGCUUAACACAUGCAAGUCGAACGGAAAGGCCCUGCUUUUGUGGGGUGCUCGAGUGGCGAACGGGUGAGUAACACGUGAGUAACCUGCCCUUGACUUUGGGAUAACUUCAGGAAACUGGGGCUAAUACCGGAUAGGAGCUCCUGCUGCAUGGUGGUGGUUGGAAAGUUUCGGCGGUUGGGGAUUGACUCGCGGGUUAUCAGCUUGUUUGUGGGGUAGUUGCUUACCAUGGCUUUGACGGGUAGCCGGCCUGUGAGGGUGACCGGCGACAAUGGGAGUGAGAUACGGAGCAGAAUGGUACGGGAGGCAGCAGUGGGGAAUAUUGCACAAUGGGCGGAAGCCUGAUGCAGAAAAGCCGCGUGCGGGAUGAAGGCCUUCGGGUUGUAAACAGAUUUCGACUGUGACGAAGAGUGAGUGACGGUAAUGGGUAAAGAAGCACCGGCUAACUACGUG